CCUACGGGUGGCUGCAGUGGGGAAUAUUGGACAAUGGGCGAAAGCCUGAUCCAGCCAUGCCGCGUGUGUGAAGAAGGCCUUCGGGUUGUAAAGCACUUUCAGUGGGGAAGAAAGCCUUGGGGCUAAUACCCUCGAGGAAGGACAUCACCCACAGAAGAAGCACCGGCUAACUCCGUGCCAGCAGCCGCGGUAAUACGGAGGGUGCGAGCGUUAAUCGGAAUUACUGGGCGUAAAGCGCGCGUAGGCGGUCUGAUAAGCCGGUUGUGAAAGCCCCGGGCUCAACCUGGGAACGGCAUCCGGUACUGUCAGGCUAGAGUGCAGGAGAGGAAGGUAGAAUUCCCGGUGUAGCGGUGAAAUGCGUAGAGAUCGGGAGGAAUACCAGUGGCGAAGGCGGCCUUCUGGACUGACACUGACGCUGAGGUGCGAAAGCGUGGGUAGCAAACAGGAUUAGAUACCCGUGUAGUC
Molecule: ribosomal RNA, 465 nt
Filed under: Vreelandella stevensii
Lineage: Bacteria; Pseudomonadati; Pseudomonadota; Gammaproteobacteria; Oceanospirillales; Halomonadaceae
Description: partial 16S ribosomal RNA
Rfam family: Bacterial small subunit ribosomal RNA
Source: RNAcentral